Molecule: long non-coding RNA, 304 nt
Organism: Lampris incognitus (smalleye Pacific opah)
Lineage: Eukaryota; Metazoa; Chordata; Actinopteri; Lampriformes; Lampridae
Exons: 3
Source: RefSeq, a predicted model, not a curated record
CGCCUCUCUCAUGUCGACCAAUUCACACGAUUUAGAUGUAAAAACUACAAUGCGUAAGUUAUAGUGCGUUUUCGUUAUGACAAGUGUCCUAUUACCCAGUGAGGGACAACAUGGUGGGACAUUUAAAGUACCACGACUGCGAAGCCGCGAUCAACCAGAUGUUUAGACACGGAGCUGUGUACUUCGUAGCGUGGUGCAUGAUGGGGCCUCAGAGUCAUCUGUCCUCCCAACAGCCACCAGGCUUUCCUGCACUGCCAUCCACACCCUCUCCGACAUGGAUACUAUCCGGCCACUUGGGAAUGGG